GACGAACGCUGGCGGCGUGCUUAACACAUGCAAGUCGAACGGAAAGGCCCUGCUUUUGUGGGGUUCUCGAGUGGCGAACGGGUGAGUAACACGUGAGUAACCUGCCCUUGACUUUGGGAUAACUUCAGGAAACUGGGGCUAAUACCGGAUAGGAGCUCCUGCUGCAUGGUGGGGGUUGGAAAGUUUCGGCGGUUGGGGAUGGACUCGCGGCUUAUCAGCUUGUUGGUGGGGUAGUGGCUUACCAAGGCUUUGACGGGUAGCCGGCCUGAGAGGGUGACCGGCCACCUUGGGACUGAGAUACGGCCCAGACUCCUACGGGAGGCAGCAGUGGGGAAUAUUGCACAAUGGGCGGAAGCCUGAUGCAGCAACGCCGCGUGCGGGAUGACGGCCUUCGGGUUGUAAACCGCUUUCGCCUGUGACGAAGCGUGAGUGACGGUAAUGGGUAAAGAAGCACCGGCUAACUACGUG
Molecule: ribosomal RNA, 468 nt
Filed under: uncultured bacterium
Lineage: Bacteria
Description: partial 16S ribosomal RNA
Rfam family: Bacterial small subunit ribosomal RNA
Source: RNAcentral